GACGAACGCUGGCGGCGUGCCUAAUACAUGCCAGUAGAACGCUGAAGGGGGAGCUUUCUUCUCUGGACGAGUUGCGCACGGGUGAGUAACGCGUAGGUAACCUGCCUGUAAGCGGGGGAUAACUAUUGGAAACGCUAGCUAAUACCGCAUAAGAGAUGUUGUUGCAUGACAUUUGCUUGAAAGAUGCAAUUGCAUCACUACUAGAUGGCCCUGCGUUGUAUUAUCUAGUUGGUGGGGUAACGGCUCACCAAGGCGACGAUGCAUAGCCGACCUGGUAAGGUGGACGGCCAAACUUGGACCGGGACACGGCCCAGAAUCCCUCGGGAAGGAGCCGUAGGGAAACUUUCGCAAUGGGCCGAAGGCCUACCGAGCAAAGCCGCCGGAGUGAAGAAGGUUUUCGGGUCGUAAAGCCCCGGUUUAAGAGAAGAAAGAGUGGUAGAGGUAAAAGUUCACACUGUGACGGUAUCUAACCAGAAAGGGACGGCUAACUACGUG
This 495-nucleotide ribosomal RNA is filed under the name uncultured bacterium. Its description in RNAcentral is "partial 16S ribosomal RNA". It matches the Rfam family "Bacterial small subunit ribosomal RNA", at positions 28 to 507 of the family's 1533-position model. The record is from RNAcentral.